UGUUCCUCUCUAUAUAUCAUGGGAACAUUCUAUGCAGUCAAGAUUAUUCAUUUUAAUGAGAUCUGUAUAAUCCAUAUCUCUAGGAAGAUUCUUUUUAUUGGAUAUUUUAUUUAUUUACAUUUCAAAUGUUAUCCCCUUCCCUGGUUUCCCCUCCGAAAACCCCAUAUCCCAUGCUCCCUCCCCCUGCUUCUAUGAGGGUGCUCCUCCAACCUACCCACCCACUUCUGCCUCCCCGCCCUUGCAUUCCUCUACACUGGGGCAUUGAGCCUUCUCAGGACCAAGGGCCUCUCUGCCCAUUGCUGACCAAUAAGGCCAUCCUCUGCUACAUAUGUGGCUGGAGCUAUGGGUCCCUCCAUGGGUACUUUUUGACUGGUGGCUUAGUCCCUGGGAGCUCUGGGAGUUCUGAUUGGUUGAUAUUGUUGUUCUUCCUAUGGGUUGCAAACUCCUUUAGCUCCUUCAGUCCUUUCUCUAGUUCUUCCAUUGGGGACCCCGUGCUCAGUCCAAUGGUUAGCUACAAGCAUCCUUUUCUGUAUUUGUCAGGCACUGGCAGAGCCUCUCAGGAGACAGCUAUAUCAGGCUCCUGACAUCAAGCACUUCUUGGCAUCCACCAUAGUGUCUGGGUUUGGUGACUGUAUAUGGGAUGGAUCCCCAGGCGGGGCAGUCUCUGGAUGGCCUUUCCUUCGGUCUCUGCUCCACAUUUUGUCUCUGUAUUCCCUCUCUUGAGUAUUUUGUUCCCCUUCUAAGAAGGAAUAGGCCGAGGAGUGGGUCUUGAUAAUGAAACUUUCUACAAGUGAAAUCAAACCUAGAAAUAAUAAUAUUUAACAUGAUCUCCAAUAAGACAGCUAACACUGAUGCAGUAGGUCUUAUGGUUUACUAUUGCCGCGAGGUUCCUGACUUCUAUUGUAAAUUUUCUAUAAGUUUGUUAGGUUUUUAAAUGAGUGGUCUGAUUGUUACCAAAGGUUUCUUCUGUUUUGUGACCAUAGUAAAGAGUCCUCAUUUGCACAGCAAUAUGAAGGACUGUCAUAUGCUUACUAUUUUUAGCCACGAAGAAUUUAGACAGAAUACUAGUAGUUGUAUUUGAGGACCAAGGGGUAAAGUGUGCGUGCACGUGUGUGUGUGGGGGGGCGCCUAUUCUGUGUGUUUACAUGGUUUUUUAAGGUAAUGAUUACUUUGUAGGCACUAAUUACUGUUCAGAAUUAUUUUAAUAUUUUCUUAUGAGCUACAAUCACUUUCUCCCAUUUUAUUAAAUAUUGCAUUUUUCAUUUAUAAUAACUAUAGCUCUACUGUUCAUGCUUAUAUACCUAGAUGGAAUAGAGAAUAAAUGUACUAUCUUUGUUUUUAUCUAGCCAUCAUUUGUGGAAGUGGCAAAUUUCUUCUUAAACUAAAUUUAAGUAUCAUGAAUUUUAUUAAGGAGAUUUCUUGAAUUUUUCUUUUCUAUAUUACAAAUCAGGAGCCAACAGAGAAGAAAUAACAAAACAUUGGGACUGGUUGGAACAAAAUAUAAUGAAGACUUUAUCUGUGUUUGAUUCAAAUGAAGAUAUUACCAAUUUUGUACAAGGCAAAAUAAGAGUAAGUGGAAUGGAUGAGUAUAUAAGAAAAAUGUAGAUAUUCUCAGAGGAGUUUAUUCUCCCAGAAAGUAAUUAUAGCAUUUGCAGAAGAUAUAUAGCAUUGAAAAUAACUUUGUUAAGCAAAGUAAGCUAGAUUCAAAGUCAAGUAUUCCAUGUUUCUUUCAUAUUCAGAAUUUAAAUUACACACACACAGACAUGCACACACAUGCAUACUCAAAGUGAGGGACAAAACUACAUGGAGGAAGGAAGGGAACUAAUGGAAACAGAAAGAGAAAUGGGAAUAAAACAAAAGACAUAUAUUGCAUUUUUCUCUCAUACACAGAUUUCAAUGUAUAUUAAUAUUCAGAUUAUAGGAGCAGAAACUGUUGCAUAUUUCUUGUGCACAAAUAUAAAUACUUAUUAAAACUUACAUUGUAUAUAUAUAUAUAUAUAUAUAUAUAUAUAUAUAUAUAUACACACACACACAAUGUCAUUCAUAUAUACAUGUAUACAAUAUAAGUUUUAGUAUAUAUAUGAAUGACAUUGAAAUUGAAAGUAAGAAGGGGUUUGGAGGAGUAGAGUGGUGGGGGACAAGAGAGGGCUACAGGCAUGAAUUAUGAGCAAAGUACAGUGAUAUACAUGUAUGGAAAUGUCAUAAUAAAACCCAGUAUUUUAUAUCUUUUUUUUUCAAAUAGUAAGAAUUUAUGGAAAUCAACUCACCUUCAGUUUCCUCAUUGCUUAGACAGUUGGUAUGAGUUCUAAGGGCCCCAAAGAAAAUGCACAUGACUCC
Molecule: long non-coding RNA, 2337 nt
Filed under: Mus musculus (house mouse)
Lineage: Eukaryota; Metazoa; Chordata; Mammalia; Rodentia; Muridae
Description: long non-coding RNA chrX:139703151-139705488
Source: RNAcentral